RNAcentral lists this ribosomal RNA (253 nucleotides) under uncultured bacterium. Its description in RNAcentral is "partial 16S ribosomal RNA". It matches the Rfam family "Bacterial small subunit ribosomal RNA", at positions 524 to 776 of the family's 1533-position model. The record is from RNAcentral.
UACAGAGGUCUCAAGCGUUGUUCGGAUUCAUUGGGCGUAAAGGGUGCGUAGGUGGCGCGCUAAGUCAGGUGUGAAAUUUCGGAGCUUAACUCCGAAACUGCAUUUGAUACUGGCAUGCUUGAGGACUGGAGAGGAGACUGGAAUUCACGGUGUAGUAGUGAAAUGCGUAGAGAUCGUGAGGAAGACCAGUGGCGAAGGCGGGUCUCUGGACAGUUCCUGACACUGAGGCACGAAGGCCAGGGGAGCAAACGGG